Molecule: microRNA precursor, 202 nt
Filed under: Oryza sativa Japonica Group (Japanese rice)
Lineage: Eukaryota; Viridiplantae; Streptophyta; Magnoliopsida; Poales; Poaceae
Description: MIR812 microRNA precursor family
Rfam family: MIR812 microRNA precursor family
Source: Rfam by way of RNAcentral
GCACGGCAUGGCACAGCGCUAUAGGCUAUAGCAGUACUCCCUCUUAUAUAAAAUUUUUUUAUAAUUAGUAUUUUCAUUAUUGUUAAAUGAUAAAAUAUAAUUAAUAUUUUAUGCGUGACUUAUCUUUUUAAUUUUUUUCAUAAUUUUUUUAAAUAAGACGGACGGUUAAAUGUUGGACACGGAAAUCAGGGUUUGUCUUUUU